Molecule: transfer RNA, 75 nt
Filed under: Rickettsiales bacterium
Lineage: Bacteria; Pseudomonadati; Pseudomonadota; Alphaproteobacteria; Rickettsiales
Description: tRNA-Gln
Rfam family: tRNA
About the family: Transfer RNA (tRNA) molecules are approximately 80 nucleotides in length. Their secondary structure includes four short double-helical elements and three loops (D, anti-codon, and T loops).
Source: RNAcentral
UGGGGCGUGGCCAAGUGGUAAGGCAUCGGUUUUUGGUAUCGUGUACCGGAGGUUCGAAUCCUCCCGCCCCAGCCA